This 291-nucleotide small nuclear RNA is filed under the name Castor canadensis (American beaver). RNAcentral describes it as "7SK RNA (ENSCCNG00000009763.1)". It matches the Rfam family "7SK RNA". Rfam says of the family: 7SK was discovered as an abundant small nuclear RNA in the mid-70s but a possible function has only recently been suggested. Two independent studies have found that 7SK RNA binds the CDK9/cyclin T complex (known as elongation factor P-TEFb). The record is from Rfam by way of RNAcentral. Lineage: Eukaryota; Metazoa; Chordata; Mammalia; Rodentia; Castoridae.
CGAUGUGAGGGCGAUCUGACUGCGACAUCUGUCACCCCAUUGAUCACCGGGGUUGAUUUGGCUGAUCUGGCUGGCUAGGCAGGUGUCCCCUUCCUCCCUCACCGCUCCAUGUGUGUCCCUCCCGAAGCUGUGCGGUGGGUCAAAGAGGACGACCAUCCCUGAUAGAGGAGCACCGUUCUUCAGUCAAGGGUAUACGAGUAGCUGUGCUCCCCUGCUAGACCCUCCAAACAAGCUCUCAAAAUCACCAAAGCAAAAUGGAUUGGAAGUGUGGCCCUAAGGUUAAACCCCAGU